GAGCUGAUGGACGCGGAAGAGCAACUGAUGUCAUCUACCUGGACUUGUGCGAAGUAUUUGACACUGUCCCACUCAACAUCCUUGUCUUUAAACUGGAGAUACAUGGAUUUGAUUGAUGGACCACUUGGU
Molecule: long non-coding RNA, 129 nt
Organism: Strigops habroptila (Kakapo)
Lineage: Eukaryota; Metazoa; Chordata; Aves; Psittaciformes; Psittacidae
Exons: 3
Source: RefSeq, a predicted model, not a curated record